Capra hircus (goat) is the source of this 103-nucleotide small nuclear RNA. Lineage: Eukaryota; Metazoa; Chordata; Mammalia; Artiodactyla; Bovidae. The record is from Ensembl.
UCACUAUAGGCUGUGCAUAUACUAAAAUUGGAACAAUACAGAGAAGAUUAUCAUGGCCCUGCGCAAGGAAGACAUGCAAAUUUGUGAAUCGUUUCAUGGUUUU